GUGACACUUUGUUGCCAUUUGCAGACUUUGUGUUACUUUAUUCUAUUUUAUUCAUUUAUCUGUCAACACUGAGGAAAUAUUUUCUCCUUGAUUGACUUUCUUUUUUGGUUUUCUUUCUUUGAUAUUUCAUUAUUCAGCAUCUGGACUAAAUAGAUUUUUCGGGCAAUUUAUCUGCCUAAUUUCCGGCAGUUACCACUGCAACUUGAAUCAGUACUGACAGAAAUUUCUUGGGUUGAUCCAUAUUAAUCUCUUUUGAGACUACUUCAUCACCGAAUCUUCCUAUUAUUCUGAUCAUUAUUUGAACCAGUACCUGCUUGCCUCCGGCUCCUCUUCCUCUAUAGGCUUGCAUCCAGGCUCUGUGCGGUGCAUGGUGUUCCUACCCGCAUGCAUAAGAGGAUUAUUUCCUCUUUUUCCCAUCCCUCCUUCCUUCCAUCUGGGAUCUUCCAUCUGGGAUUCUGAGCCAGUAACGGCUAACUAUUCAGGUUUUUCAGUCCAUUCUUUCAGGUAAAUAUUUUUGUCAAAGUCCACAGUUAUCACAGACACUCCAUUCACUCGAUUUUUGUCUAUUUAAACAAAUAUAUUCUUUUUAUGUUUUAUAACAAAUUAUGAUUAUGUCAACAUCUAUGGUCAAUCAGACAUUUUUGUAUGUACUGAUACAACAAAUUUAUGUGACUAUCUCUGUAUAUUAUUACAUAUUUUCUUCCGUUCAUUGAUAUAUUUUUUGUUUGCUCAGACUACUGCCCCCUAUUGGUUCCUGACGAAGCCCUCUUGGGCGAAA
Long non-coding RNA from Rana temporaria (common frog), 778 nucleotides. RefSeq lists it as uncharacterized. Lineage: Eukaryota; Metazoa; Chordata; Amphibia; Anura; Ranidae. The transcript has 3 exons. The record is from RefSeq and is a predicted model, not a curated record.